UUAGUUCAGAUCUCCUCUUUCGUUUCUAGGGUUUUGCAGAUCUCCUCUUUCGCUCUCCUUACCAUUGAACCAGUAGGAUUCAGAUCUUAAUUCUCAACAACAAUCACAUAAUCUUAUCAAUUUCAUCAAUGGCGAUUUCAAGUGAGUUGUAUCCAAGCCAAGACGAUCUCCUCUGAGAAUAAGAACUCCUCAUAAAUCCCUUCAGUUUGAAGCUAUGGUGGCGAUACUUAAUUGCACGCACUGAAUCUCCGUUCAAGAAGCGAGUCGUGAUCUAUGAACGAGCAUUGAAAGCAUUACCAGGAAGCUACAAGUUAUAGGUACAAGAAGCGAGCCGUGAUCUAUGAACGAGCAUUGGGUGCCAUCGGAGUUCUGCUGGGUGAUGAAAGGGUGGAGGUUACAGUUGUGGUGAUUUGGGUUACAUUUAUGGUUUUAACUUUGAUAAUUAUGGGGGAAUCUGGAACAAUGAACUGGUGCUGAUGAUGAACUUGAUGUAAUUGGAUUUGCGACGGUGGUUUGUGUGGAAGAUGAUUCUAGAUGGUUUAUUUGAAGAUGAAGAUGGAUGGAUAAAGAUGGUUUGAAGAUUGAUUCAUUUGAAGAUGAAGAUGGAGUAUGUAUCUGGGAUGAUGAUGAAUGAACUGAUGAUGAUGAACUUUAACAGAGUACGUAGUGGAGGCUUACGCAGAUAAGGGGACAGAUCUGGUAUUUAAGGAUCCAAAUAUUUAAGGAUCCAAAUAUUUAAGGAUCCAAAGAUAUCUGCAAUACAAACAAUGUGGAUGGAAGUGGAAGCUCAGAUGGAAGUGCAAUACAAACGAAGGCAAAAGAUUCUGCAGAAUAAGUUGCAAACUUAUCUACAGAUGUUCUUUCUGUUAUCAAAUCUACACGGUUUUACAAUGGCUGCAGACAAAUCUGGUGGUGACCUUCUGUGACGCUUAAAUGACUGAAGUUCUACUUGCUGCAUUUCAGUUUGUGAUCUUGAGUUAAUUUGAGACCAAAGAGGAACUGCUAAGGGUACUUGGACGGAAGGAGGAAAAAGGAAGUCAACUUGAGUUCCUUUGCAGGGGCUAUAAGACUGCAACAUGGUGGGAGGAAGACGUUGAUUUGGAGUUAUCUUCAGCAUGGCGUAACUAAGUUGAACCCGAUAAGAAACAACUAAGUUGAAUCUGAUAAAAAACGGGGCCUAGUUAUCAUCAUUUCAUAUUGUUUUUUCUUGUUUAUCAAUCAGUAGUCAGUACACAUAUUUCCUCUUAAUUUUUUUUCUAAAGUUUUAUGUACUUCCAUUUUUGUCACUAGGUCUCCUAUUGGUCAUAGUGAAGAAUAUAUAUGUAUCACCAUAGACUUAUUUUUAUUGGCGGUUAACAUCUAAUGCAUAAGUUUCUAUC
This is a long non-coding RNA of Helianthus annuus (common sunflower), 1379 nucleotides long. RefSeq lists it as uncharacterized. The transcript has 4 exons. The record is from RefSeq and is a predicted model, not a curated record. Lineage: Eukaryota; Viridiplantae; Streptophyta; Magnoliopsida; Asterales; Asteraceae.